AGGGCACCACAAGAACGCGUGGAGCAUGUGGCUUAAUUUGACUCAACGCGGGGAAUCUUACCGGGUCCGGACACACUGAGGAUUGACAGACGGUUAUUGACUUAUACUCGCUUAAUAGCUUUAAGCUGUUAAGUGUUUAACACCUUUACACAAAGAUGCUAGUCCUUUCAUGAUCGUUUGAUAGGUGGUGCAUGGCCGUUCUUAGUUCGUGGAGUGAUCUGUCUGCCUAAUUGCGUUUCACUAAGGUCCCAUUCUUCAUACGUAUGAAUAGCGUCUUAACUCACUUUUACCGCUACCUAUUUGUAGUAAGCGCUCAUACUAUUGGGACCGGAAUGCAACGAGCGCGACUGCACCACCUAAUUGCCCCUUAUCUACCAUUAAUUACUUUAUUAACCGCCCUGUACGGGCACCGGGACCUUACCUUUACUGAAACUAGCUGGACCGCUGCUUUCCUUUAAGCCAGAGGAAGGUUGCGGCAAUAACAGGUCUGUGAUGCCCUCAGAUGUUCCGGGCCGCACACGUGCUACAAUGAUCAGCACAAAGAGUAUUACCUAUCUUCUUAUACCUAACCCAAUAUGUUAAACUUAUUGCGUAAGGGUAUUGUCUUAACGACUUAUCCGCUUUAGCGCUUUAAGAUUAUUGGACGGUUAUGCCUGCCUCGAAAGAGUGUACAGGGCAGCAAGAGUAAUGAUUCCCUCGUUUUUACUACUAAUACCGCGCUUGGUAACAUAUUGCACUCGAUUAAGUAGGGUCUUUGCUUUUAAUAGCAAUUGCUAUCCUCACCCUUAGGCUCUAAGGAUAUUACUAUCUCUAAGGUCUACAGGGAGGUGUAUAUGGCGCACUUACUUAUUCACGGUGGGGACAGACCAUUGUUAACUG
This 879-nucleotide ribosomal RNA is filed under the name Globorotalia truncatulinoides. RNAcentral describes it as "SSU rRNA". The stretch from base 21 to 527 matches the Rfam family "Eukaryotic small subunit ribosomal RNA", at positions 1178 to 1501 of the family's 1831-position model. Lineage: Eukaryota; Foraminifera; Rotaliida; Globorotaliidae. The record is from RNAcentral.